Molecule: transfer RNA, 72 nt
Organism: Drechslerella stenobrocha 248
Lineage: Eukaryota; Fungi; Ascomycota; Orbiliomycetes; Orbiliales; Orbiliaceae
Rfam family: tRNA
About the family: Transfer RNA (tRNA) molecules are approximately 80 nucleotides in length. Their secondary structure includes four short double-helical elements and three loops (D, anti-codon, and T loops). Further hydrogen bonds mediate the characteristic L-shaped molecular structure. tRNAs have two regions of fundamental functional importance: the anti-codon, which is responsible for specific mRNA codon recognition, and the 3' end, to which the tRNAs corresponding amino acid is attached (by aminoacyl-tRNA synthetases). tRNAs cope with the degeneracy of the genetic code in two manners: having more than one tRNA (with a specific anti-codon) for a particular amino acid; and 'wobble' base-pairing, i.e. permitting non-standard base-pairing at the 3rd anti-codon position.
Source: Rfam
UCUCGAAUGGUCCAGUGGUCAAGAUUCCCGCCUGUCACGCGGGCGACCGGGGUUCGAUUCCCCGUUCGAGAG